This 406-nucleotide ribosomal RNA is filed under the name uncultured bacterium. Its description in RNAcentral is "partial 16S ribosomal RNA". It matches the Rfam family "Bacterial small subunit ribosomal RNA", at positions 28 to 526 of the family's 1533-position model. The record is from RNAcentral.
GAUGAACGCUAGCUACAGGCUUAACACAUGCAAGUCGAGGGACCGGCGCACGGGUGAGUAACACGUAUCCCACCUGCCCUUUAAUCGGGGCUAGACUUUCGCAAGAAAGAUUAAUAACCGAAAUACAGGAGGGGGAUGCGUUCCAUUAGGUUGUUGGUGAGGUAACGGCUAACCAAACCUUCGAUGGCUAGGGGUUCUGAGAGUAAGGGCCCCUAGAUUGGAACUGAGACACAGUCCAAUAUCCUACGGGACGCAGGAGUGAGGAAGAUUGGGCAAGGGGUGCUAGCCUGAACCUGCCAAGUAGGGUGAAGAAUGAAGGGGUAUGGGUCGUAUACUUCUUUUAUAUAAGAAUAGGUAUUAUAUGAAUAAGGAUCGGCUAAGACCGUGCCAGCAGCCGCGGUAAUUC